RNAcentral lists this ribosomal RNA (468 nucleotides) under uncultured bacterium. Its description in RNAcentral is "partial 16S ribosomal RNA". It matches the Rfam family "Bacterial small subunit ribosomal RNA", at positions 28 to 507 of the family's 1533-position model. The record is from RNAcentral.
GACGAACGCUGGCGGCGUGCUUAACACAUGCAAGUCGAACGGAAAGGGCCUGUGUUUGUGGGGCGCUCGAGUGGCGAACGGGUGAGUAACACGUGAGUAACCUGCCCUCUACUUUGGGAUAACUUCAGGAAACUGGGGCUAAUACGUGCUAGGAUCUCCUGCUGCAUGGUGGGGGCUGGAAAGUUUCGGCGGUUGGGGAUGGACUCGCGGCUUAUCAGCUUGUUGGUGGGGUAGUGGCUUACCAAGGCUUUGACGGGUAGCCGGCCUGCGAGGGUGACCGGCCACAUUGGGACUGAGAUACGGCCCAGACUCCUACGGCAGGCAGCAGUGGGGAAUAUUGCACAAUGGGCGGAAGCCUGAUGCAGCAACGCCGCGUGCGGGAUGACGGCCUUCGGGUUGUAAACCGCUUUCGCCUGUGACGAAGCGUGAGUGACGGUAAUGGGUAAAGAAGCACCGGCUAACUACGUC